UUGUGAUAGUGAAUUAAAAGAUGGGGAGUCGGACCUGCCCGGUGAAUUUUUUUAACGGCCGCGGUACUCUGACCGUGCAAAGGUAGCAUAAUCAUUUGCCUUAUAAUUGAAGGCUGGUAUGAAUGGUUUGACAAGAAUAUAACUGUCUCUUUAUAAUUUGAUAGAAUUUUAUUUUUAGGUGAAAAAGCCUUGAUUUGAUUAAUAGACAAGAAGACCCUGUCGAGCUUUAAAGAAUUUAGUGGAUGAAGAAAUUGGUUAGAGGAUUUUAUCGUAUUGAAAAAGUAAGCUGCUAAAUAUUUUGGUUGGGGCGACUGAGGAACAUAAGAAGCUUCCUUUAAUAUUUUAUACAUACAGGUGUUGAUCCAAAGAUGUUGAUUAAAGGAAUUAGUUACCGUAGGGAUAACAGCAUUAUCCUUUUUGAGAGUUCUUAUUGAAAAAAAGGGUUUGUGACCUCGAUGUUGGACCAGAAUGUCCUGAAGAUGCAGAAGUCUUCGAGGGUUGGUCUGUUCGACCAUUAAAAUUCUA
This 525-nucleotide ribosomal RNA is filed under the name Terebra guttata. RNAcentral's name for it is "partial 16S ribosomal RNA". It matches the Rfam family "Bacterial large subunit ribosomal RNA", at positions 1823 to 2598 of the family's 2925-position model. The record is from RNAcentral. Lineage: Eukaryota; Metazoa; Mollusca; Gastropoda; Neogastropoda; Terebridae.